This 78-nucleotide small RNA is filed under the name Flavobacterium johnsoniae. RNAcentral describes it as "Flavo-1 RNA". It matches the Rfam family "Flavo-1 RNA". RNAcentral also lists the same sequence under 1 other name. Lineage: Bacteria; Pseudomonadati; Bacteroidota; Flavobacteriia; Flavobacteriales; Flavobacteriaceae. The record is from RNAcentral.
CUCUAGCCCUGAUAGCAGCGGCAUCCUUUUUGUUUUUUCUUUAAAAACAAAAAGAUAUAGCGGAUAGCAGGAAAUAGC